Molecule: long non-coding RNA, 14845 nt
Organism: Heterocephalus glaber (naked mole-rat)
Lineage: Eukaryota; Metazoa; Chordata; Mammalia; Rodentia; Bathyergidae
Source: Ensembl
CUUCUUCUUCUUCUUCUUCUUCUUCUUCUUCUUCUUCUUUUUUCUUCUUCUUCUUGUCUUAUUGUAUUAGUGAAGACUUCUAGUACAAUCAGUGGUAAGAGGGAACAUCUUUGUCUUCAUCCUGAUUUAGGGGAAAAGUUUCUGUUUUCUAACCAUUAUAAAUGAUGUUAGCUGUAGGCUUUUUGUAAAGGUACUUUAUCAAGUUGAGGGAAGUUUCUUUCUAUUCCUAGUUUGCCAAGGUUUUUUUUUUUUUUUUUGGUCAUGAAUGGGUGUUGGAUUUUAUCAAAUGUUUUUUAUGCAUCUAUUGAUAUAAUCAUGUGAUUUUUUGUUGUUCUUUAGCCUGUUGAUGUAGUUAAACCAUUGGUUGACUUUUGUUUAUUGAAUAAGCCUGCACACCUGGAAUGAAUCCCACUUAAUUAUAGUGUAUAAUUCUUUUAAAAUGUUCAAUUUGAUUUGCUAAUUUUUUUUGCACUUGCUGUGCUAGGGAUUGAACCCAAGGUUUUACCACCAAACUACAUUCCCAGCCCUGGUUUGCUAAUAUUUUAUUGAAGAGUUUACAUCUACAUUCAUGAGAGAUAUACUGGUAUGCUAUUUUUCCUUUAUGGUGAUGCCCCUGUCUGGUUUGAGUAUUAGAAUCAUGCUGGCCUUAUAGAAUGAGUUAGGAAGCAUUUCCCCUGCUUCUGUGUUCUACUUCUUCUAGAUUAUAGUGCAUCGAUAUUCUUUCCUCCAUAGCUAUUUGGUAGAAUUCACUAGUGAAACCAUCUGUGCCUGGUGCUUUUCUUAUUGGAACAUUAUUAGUUAUUGAUUCAAUGUCUUUAAUAGAUAUAGGCCUUUGCAGAUUCUUUAUUUCUCCUGUGUGAAUGUUGUUAGUUUGUAUCUUUCAAAAAUUUGUCCUUUUCAUUGAAGUUAUCAAAUUUGUGGACCUAGAGUGGUUUGUAGUAUUCCUUGACUGCCCUUUAUUUUUAUUUUUAUUGGUACUGGGGAUCGAACUCGGGUCCUUGUGUUUGCGGAGCAGGCGGCGGCACCACUGAGCUAAAUCCCCGGCCCUCUUGAUUGUCCUUUAAAUGUCUAUGGGGUCAGUUGUGAUCAUUCUUUUCAUUUUUGAUAUUGGUAAUUUGUGUCUUCUUUUUUCCUUGGUCAGUCUGAGUAAGAAUUUUUCAAUUUAAUUGAUUCGUUUUCAAAGCCCUAGCUUUUGGUUUUGCUGUUUCAUUAUUGUUUUUCUGUUUUGGAUUUUGACAACAGCUCUAAUUUUUCUUUCUUUUCUUUUCUUUCUUUUCAUUGCUUUGCUUUGCUUUAGGCUUAAACUGUUCUUCUUUUCUAGUUUCCUGAAAGAAGAGGCUUUUUGACACUUAAGCUGGCUAUGCUAGUCUAGCUCCUCUGAGAAAUGGAUACCAAGUUGGAAGGAAACAUCUUUCUUUGGAGAAACAUCUGUGAAAGGAGAUGAGGAAGGCUCCCUCAGAAUGCUGGGGAAGUGGCCAGACCUUUCUGCAAGGCUGGGCUGGAGUGAAGAAGAAAGGGAGGGAAGAUUAGGCUCUGGGAGGGGUGUCAGGGAGUCAUCUAGCCCAAGAUGGCUGUUAGAGAGUUCAGUGUCUCUUAGGAGAAGGCCUGCUGGGAUCUGUCAAUGGUGGAUGCCUCCCUUGGAAAGCAUGGUCUUAGCAUGAAUGCGGAAGUGGAUUCCAGAGCAGAGCAAGUGGGACCUUUGGACAGUUGUGCAGACUGAGUGUGGGAUGUCUGAGAGAUGUAUGUCCAUGGCCACCAUUCCAGGUCUUGAAAGAGGGAGAGGAGGAGGCAGAGGGCUUCACAGGUGUGAAAGAACUCAGCAUGUUUGAAACAGGAAGUCUAUUGGUGAUAGACUGGGCUAAGUGACAGGAGGGACAAGGGAUUGGUGUGAGGUAGGCCUUAGAUAAUAGCUCCAGUGCCAGCAGCUGGGGAAGUUCCUUAUGGAUCAUGGUAAAAAAUUUGGAUUUUAUCCUGAAGAGGCUACUGAGGAGUUUUAAGCAAGUGAGCGACAGGAUUAGAUUAGCUUACAUUAGAUUUAUUUCUAGGAGGAGGAUUCUGGAAGAUUGAGUAGAGAAGGAGCGGAGGCAGGUGAGACAGUGUGGAGAGGAGAAAAUGGCCUUUAUCUAAUGAGAGAUGAUGAGAGUCCACAUCAGUACACAGUGAUGCAGCCAGCCCAGACCCAGGAUUUCUUUAGGAGGUAGGGCUGAUAUGGUGUAGAACAGGUGUUAUGACUUGUGCUUAGGUGUCCUCCCAAAACUUACGCAGUAAGAGGUGGGGCUUUUUCAGAGGUGGCUGGAUCUAGAGUGUGUGAUGCUGGGAUUGAUUCAUGGUGUAACGGUAGGCUCAAGGGCACUAGGAUUAAGGGUGUGAGUGCUAUCUGCCCUUGGUAGCCUGGAUAAGAUAUAAGGGAUAGAAAGAGGUGUUGUGGUUUGCUACCUUCUGCCCACCAUGAGCUGUUUCUCCUUUGUAAUGUCCUUGUGCUAUGCCACCCUGCCUUGAAGCCAGCCAAUUAUGGAUUAAAACCUCUAUGAACUGUGAGCUAAAUAAACCUUUCAUCCUUUAACUUUCAGUUUUUGUCUCAGCAAUGAGAAAAGUAACUAAGCUGAAAAAGUGCAAAAUGAGCCCCAGAAAUUGGAUUUAGGGGACCCAGGGAGAGAGGAAGGAUUCAUAAAGAGAAUUAUAAGCAGGUAUGGGGAGGAAAUCAAGAGUUUGGUCAACUGGGGACAUGGAGUUCCUUCUAUGUCCCUGGCAUUUGGAUACUUGGGUCUGGGACUCAGAGUCAUUGCCUGGACCAUAUAUAAAUGGAGUAUGGGUGCACUCUAAAGCCAUAUGCCUGAGAUCACCUGAUCAUACGACAUAGCUUUAGAGGCAUAGGUGGCCAAAUUCUGAACUCCGUGGAACCCCACAGUGGAGAUGAAUGAAAGAAGAGGAACCGGGUCAGGAGACUGAGGAAUGGUUAGUCAAUGGGAGAAUUGAAAGAGUGGUGCCCUCAAAGUCCAGGGAGGGGAGGACUCUGAGGAGAGGGUAGCCAACAGUGUCAAUUACACCUAUAGGAAGCCAAGCAUGGUGGUGUGUGCCUAUAAUCCCAGUACGCUGGGAGGCUGAGUCAGGAAGAUGGCAUGCUUGAGCCCAGCCUGAGCAACUUAGUGAGAACUUGCCUCAAAAAAUGAAAAGGGCUAGGGGCAUAGCUUAGUGUGAAGAACCUGGGUUCAAAUCUCAGUAACCCCUCACCCUCCAAAAAAACCUACUCUAAGGGAGUCCUCACCUUUAGAAACUCAGAAUGUGACCUUAUUUGGAAAUAGGGUCACUGCAGAUGUCAUUAAAUUAGGAUGAAGUCAUACUGGAGAGGGGUGGGCUCCUAGUCCAGUAUGCUGCUGUUCUUUGAUGAGGAGAAGAGGCAGACAAGGAGGGAGGAAUUCCACGUGCCAGUGGGGGAGGAUGUUGGAGUUGUGCAGCUGGAAGCCAAGGAACACCAGGAUUGUUGGCAAACACAGGAGGGAAAAGAAAGGAAAGGACCAACAGAUCAUUCUCUAGCUCCUUCAGAGAGAGCAUGGCCCUGCUGACACCUUAAUUGCAGACUUCUAGCCUCUUAAACAGUAAGAGGAUACAUUUCUAUUAUUCUAAGCCACCUAGUUUGUGGCAAUCUGUUAUAGCACCCUCUAGAAAACUAACAUGCAAAGUUGAGGAACCAUCAUUUUGCUGCAAACACAGGGAGGGGAGUGCUCUAAGAUGGAGGGUGAUACAGUGUAGGGUUGCACUAACACAUUUAGAUAGAGAUGAGGAGAAAGGUAUCAUCCAGGGAUCCAACCAUUUGAAGAUCUACCUGGGGUCAGAUGAUCUGCUCCUACUACAGCUCGUGCACCUAGAACUCCCCAUAAAAUCUGGAGCAGUGGUGGUAAACCUAUGGCACUCGUGCCAUGGCCGGCUGUUUGUUAUCAUUCAAAGCUCUAAAAGGUUUGCCAUCACUGAUCUGGAGUGUCUUCACUAUGUGGCUCCCCCAGAGCAAGUCAUCCAAGAGAGAUACCAAGGUAGAAAUCUCAAUGCUUUUUUUGACCUAACCUUGGUAGUCAUACACCAUCACUUCUACCAUAUUCUAUUAUCAUACAAACCAACUUCAAUUCAGUAAGAGGGACUACUCGAGGGUGUGAGUGCCAAGGAGCCAGGGUUAUUCAGGGCCGUAUUGGAGGCCGGCUCCCACACCACCUAUAUUGCUGACCCCCACCUCCAUGUUGGUUGCAGUUUUGCCCCCACUCUGUGAGCAUCAGACCUUUAGAGUUAAGAUAUCCUCUGGCCAUCAUUUUUUGGAGCACCUCUAGGGCAAUGCAUCUGAAACUGCUCUUUUUGUUCCAUUUCCAAGCCAGAUUCUUUCUCUAAUAAUAUCUUAGAGGCCCCGCCAGUGACUCAAACACCAAGCUAGACCUUGGGAUCAUGUAUGCUUACUCUCCUUCACCAUCUCUCCCGUCCGAACCAUCACAAGUUCUGUCAACUUAACUUUCUGAAUAUCUUUGAAAUCUAUUGUCUUUUCUCUAUAUUUAUUUUCACAGCCUUUUUAAAUGAAAGUUAGCAACUCUUAGUUGGAUCACUGUAACAGACUCCAAACUAUUGGCUCAACAUACAGCUCUCUUAACCCAAGAACUGUGAAGGAUCUGAGAUUUUACUCCAUUUGCAAACUGACAAGUCAGCCUGGGUGCUAUCAGCAUCCUGGAUAAGAGUUUAGAACUACUGGCCUACCAUGUUGCACAAAUUUCACAUUCUGUUCAGUUCCUCUUACUCUGUGAGUCCCACAGAGGGAACAUAGAGUGACCCAGAUGAAUGCUACACCUGUAUAUAGUGAAGUUCUGCCUCAGUCAAGAAACCCCAAGCUUAGGGAACCUGAAUCUUUCGUAUGGGGUGCAAGCAAAGCUGCCUGCCCUGUGGUUCAUGGAGUUGCCUUCUAUUUUCUAAAAAUGCUUGCUACAUGAACAUCUUUGAAGAAAUAAUCCAGGAAGGGCAGUUAGUACCUCACAUACAAGACAUGCAGAAAAGUGAGAAACUCAGGGAGAACUGCCUCCCCACAACAGCCAAAAUUCAAAGCAGGUCACCACCAAUGGCUCUCCAAACCUGUGAGAUAAAGCCAAGUUCCUUGCUUGGCACUGCCCUCUCUGCUGGCCUCAUGGCUCACUCUCCCUGCCCUACAACAGAAAUCUGAAAUAAACAGAAGUCCCUCAAAGAGUCUGUGUUCAUUGUGGCCUCCAGGUCUUUGCUCAGCUCACCUUAUUUGCCUGAAUUUCCCUAUUCCUUUCUUCAAAAUCACUCAUUCUGUGCCCUGUGACACGGCUACCUUUUGAGGAUCACAUGUAUUCUGGGGGUUGCUGGGUUUGUCUUUGGGGACAUGAGUCUAGCAAACCUUACUCUUUAUUGGACUAAUAUUUACCACUUGCCACUGUUUCCUUUUUUCUCUACAUAGAACUGUCCUUUAUGUGGUAAAGGCACAUCAUGUUUCAGUAAAAUUUCACCCUUCUGUGACAGGGUCGGGUAAAGACCUAAUUUCUAUUCUCACUCCUGGUUCUAGUUUGCUUUUUGGCUGUGCUGUCUCCCCAGCAGGGCUGGAGGAACUCAAUUCAGAACCAGGCUUUCUCUGUGUCUGAUCAUCUUCACUGUACCAAAGUGAAAGUUGACUAACCAAAUAGUCAUCCAUUCCAUAGCUUUGUACAUCUCUACCUGGAAUGGGGGCCCAGGGCAUAAUUGAGCAAUGCCAUGGUUUAAGCAGGCCCUUUGAAAGUUCAUGUUUUGGGAACUUAAUUCCUCAAUGUAGGGAGACGAAGCCUGGUGGGAAGUAUUUGGGCCAUGUGGUUGGAGCCCUUAUGAAUGGAUUAAGACUUUCUCACCAGAAUGAGUUUUUCCACCAUGAGUUGAAGCAUCAUGAGACCUCUACGAAAAGUGGCUAGACUUUUUUCUUUAUAAGUUACCUAGUCUCAAGUAUUCUGCAGCAACAGGAGAAAAUAGACUAAGACACUAUCUAUUUCCACUUCUCUUCCCCACCAGACCUGAAUAGAAUGUGUUGUGAGAACAACAUAACUUGGGGUGAGACAGCUUUCAGGAAUGCUAUGAAAAAACUGCUAAUUCAUUCCAGAAAUAAGUUCUGGUGGUCAUUCCAUCUUAUUUUGAGAAUUAUGAGUUUUAAAAGAACUGUAAAGAAUGCUGACUUCAUCUAACUCCUCUUAUAUUGCCCAUUUUUGUUUUUACCUCUGUUUUAUGUGAAAUGAAGUUAAGAGCAUAAAUAAGCCACCAACCUGGCUCUGAGUAAAGAGAACUAAUGGAGAAAUAACAUUAAGAUCAUCAUGCACUGGUGCUGUGGGCAUCAACCUUUUUGGAACCAGGGACUGGUUUUGUGGAAGACAAUUUUUGUGUGGACUAGGGUGGGGAAGUUCAGUUUUUUAUUUUAUUAGUAUAUGCUUGGGGUAUGCAAGAAUCACAUUCCCCAGCACUAGCAUCACUGUCUCAGCUCCACAUUAGAUCAUCAGCCAUUAGAUUCUCAUAAGAAGCAUACAACCUGAAUUCCUUUCAUGUGCAGCUCACUAGAGGGUUCAUGCUUAUGUGAGAAUCUAAUGCCACUGCUGACCUGACAGGGCCAGAGCUCUGUUGGUAUUGUGAGUGAUAAGGAGCUGCUGUGAACACAGAUGAAGCUUUCAUUAUGAUUUAUGUCUAGAUGUCCCCUCCCCCCAAAGUCUCAUAUGCUGCUAGGUGGGAGUUCUGGGAGGUGGUUGGAUCUAGGGUGUGUGAUGCUGGGAUUAAGGGGGUGUGAUUACUAAAUUAGUCCACUGAUUGGUAUAGCAUACCUCUCGGUGUAGGUAAUGGGAAGGCCUCCCUGGGUGUGAGAGGCACCACCCAAAAGGCGAGUAGUCUGGAUGAAUAUAAAGGGAUAGAAAGAAGGCAGGCCUGCUGCUGCUGCUGCUGCUUUCUUGCUGCUUCACUGUCUCCUGCUUGCUUGCCAUGUACUGUUUCUCUUCUGUGAUAUCCCUUUUCCAUGCCACCCUGCCUUGGAGCCAGCUAACUAUGGAAUGAAACCUCUAUAAACUGUGAGCUGAAAUAAACCUUUCCUCUUUUAACUUUGGGUGUCAGAUAUAUUGUCCCAGCAAUGAGAAAAGUAACCAAGACAGAGUUGCUCAUGUGCCCUCUGCUCAUCGUCCACUAUGUUGCCAGAUUCCUAACAGGCUGAGAACCAGGACUGGCUGGGGACCCCUGCAUUGGUGAAACAUGUAUGCAAAUGCCAUGUGAGACAUCCCAUUGUGAAGGUAAAAUUAAAAAGAAGAUUCCCAUUUGGCAUUUUCUUUUUGUUGUGUGUCACCUUUUCAGGUAUCUGCCCAGCUGGCAAUGACCCUUACUGGAGACUCUUGAUCAAUGAGACCUAUAGAGUUGGGCUCCUAGUCACUUUGUUUAUGGAACAUAAUUCUGACCCUCUUCUCUCACCCUACAGAUCUCUUAUUCAUUGGCUUUUAUAUCCCAACCACUAACUACAGUGCUUGGAACAUUUUGAGUGGCUGAAAAAUAUUUGGUGAAUUGAUGAUAUUGAGGAUUGGGAGUAAUGGAGAGAUUCCUCCUGUGCUUGAAGGUGGAAUUAUAAUAUGUGGGCCCCAGGGCUGUGAACAGUUGCAUCCAUCAUGGGGACUGUGGAUCAGCUGUGUUAGUCUACUUUCCAUCACUAUAACAAAUACCUGAGACAAUCAACUCAUAAAGAGAAAAGCUUUAUUUUGGCUCACAGUUCUGGAGACUCCCAUCCAUUACUGGUUAGCAUGUGACAUGACUACUUUGAACAUGUGGCAAGGCAACACAUCAUGACAGCAGUUCAUGGUGGAGCAAAACCACUCACCUUGAGACCAGAGAGCAACAAGAGAAGAAGAGGAAGGGGCUAGCAUCCCAUAAUCCUGUUCAAGGGCACACCCCAAUCACCUAACAACUUCCCUCUUGGGUCUACCUCUUAAAGUUCCACCACUUCAAAUGGAGACUUGGGAUCAAGCCUUUACCACACUGGCCUUUGGGACGUGCUCCAGAUCCAAACUAUAGCAGCAGGGAAAUAGAGAAUUCUGGAGAGGGGAACUUGGGCUUACUCUCACUUGUUCUCUUGUUCCUGAUAGCAGAACUUUCACAGACCAAGCUGCAGACCUCUAUAUUUGAAUAAAUUCCUUUGUUUGUUGUUGGGGACUAGGCUACCUAACUUAGAUCCCACAGUCUCAAGUUCAGUAUUAUCUUGCCUUGAGAACAGGGAAGUAUGUGGAAGGUUGGAUGCUCCCUGGCUAUGGGCAGAAUGCUGAUAACUUGGCACUCCUGAGGCAAGACAGUAUCUGCUGAGGACAGUUGUCAAUAUACAGGCAUUUGGGUGUAGAGAAAAUCUGGUUCAUCAUUAAUUUAAUCCUUAUCCAUCCAUUCCCUAUAGUUGCUGUUCCAUGAAACUCAUGCUACCCCUCUCUCUGUACUUUCCACUGGCUAAUAAAAGUGGGCCACUGCAGAGUUUUAUUGGAAUCUGUCUGCUUGAGGCAGGUUUCCUCCCUGUCCCCCCUUUAAUAUCUUGGAAACUGUCACCGUCUUUUUAUUCCUCAAUGUUCCCUCCAAAAGGUAGCUGAAGUUCUGACCAGCCCUCAGUACUUUGUGUUUAAACUAGGUCCAGGAUGUUAGUCCAAAAUAACACAGAAAGUCUAAGUAUGACUGACAGAGGAGUGAGCCAUUCACUACUAGUGGCCAUGGAGCUAAGACAACCUGUGUCCCAAGAGAAAUUUAGCAGUGUGAUAGCCACAGCCCACCUCUUUCUCUCCCAUCUGUCUGAACUCAGAAGUGUGUUCUGACAGUGGUGCAUGGUCACUGGCUUAGCAUGCUGGGUGGAGGGGAGCACGACAUAGUUAAAACAAUGAAACCCUGUUCUUCACGAAGAUCUUUGAUAAUGUUAUACAGGAAAUAUCAUGGAGCCCAUGUUAGUGCACUAAAAGCAUGGCCUCAGGUGAAAUUUUUUUGUUCUACUACCUCAAAGUCUAGGCAAAUGAAUACCUUUCCUCAUCACCAUAGCAUCACAGAGGAACUUAGAGAGAUUAUAGCAGGGUUAGAGCAGAAAAUUGGGCAAGCUGCAAAAUCAUGGAUGCAGACUAUGACCCUGCUAAUCAGUCAUGGGUGGAAGGUCUUUCUGUAAAGGAUAUUGUAAGUGCAGGGAAUGCCCUAUGUUCUGUGUUAUUAAGAAGCGACUUAUAAGAGAUACAGCUGAUGAUGUUUCAGUAUUUCAACUCUGAACUCUGAGUAUUUACAAGACGAUUCAUAAUUUUCUGCAGUUAAUAUUAAACAUGCCACUAAAAGGCAGCACAGAAUGGUGGUGAACACAAAGAAUUCAGAUGACAUAAGAGAAUACCAGACAAAGCCGGGACCCAGGCAUUUCCCCCGGCCACACCCUAUUUAAUAUUUCACCAAUACUAAUGAGAAGCUGUGACAGUGGCUGGUUGCAAAGCCACUCUAUAAUAUCAGCCAACCUUGCAGUCUCAGGGCACACAGCAGCUCAGGAUUAUUCUUCAACCCUGAUUGCUGUGGAUUCAGCUGUAGUUCCACCCUCCUCAUCCCGCUAUUCAUCCUUCCCUCUCAGGUCCAGAUUCCAGGAGCAGUUCCUGUUUGGGACACACUGUUCUCAUACAGAGGGCAGAGCCAAUGUGAAUCCCUGUUCACUGAAGCAUUCCCACUACCUACUCUCAUUUAAUUGGCCCAAACAAGUCACAUGCCCACGCCCAACUUCAGUGAGGGAGGAAGUUCAAUCUCCCAGGGGCAGACCCCUAAGUUUGGUUGAGUCAGAAAGGGGAGGAAUAUUUUGACAGUAAUACAAUAUAGGAGAGAUAAGGCUGCAUUUCCAGAACUGCAUCUUCUAUUUAUGGGAGUCUAACCUAUGCAUAAAUGUUUAAGUUAAUUUUGAACCUCAGUUCAAAAUGUGGGCUCCAUCAUUUCUAAUGAUUCCUUUUGUGGCACUCACAAUUUUGGGUAUUACAGGAUGCCCUCUCUCAGGCAUUAAUCAAACCAUAGGAUGGGUCUGAUAAAUCCCAACUGGCAGCUGCAGGCAGAAUUCUGAAAGUGGGAAAAUGAUUUCAGUGGUGUAAGUGUGGCCAGCCUGUGGCAGAAUGACCUGGAGUGCAGGUGAACAUGCAGAUUUCUGGGCUCUGCCUUAGCGUGCUCCACUCCUGUCAGAGCACAGGCCUGGAGCUCUGGUUCUCAGGGCUGCCAUAAGCAAGGCGGUGUGGACUUUCACAUGCUCUGCCAUGAGUCCAGCUAGAGUGUGAGGUUUCCUGGAAGAUCUGGGAGAAGGAAGUAUUACUAUGGAAUGGUUUCUAAUGAGGGCCUCUAUCCUUCCUUCAAAUACGUAUUAGUUUACAUACUUUACUAUUUUUCUUGUAAAUCAACAUCUGUGAAUCAUUUUGUCUAUUUUUAGAAAUAAAAUGUGACUACAUUGAACAAUGUUCUCAUUAAAAAAAGUUUUCUUACAACAGUAACAAUUUUUUAAAACAUAUAUUUUUAACUACUUUUCCUCAACAAUGGACAUUUGGAAACAAAUCUGGGAUGAAAAUGUAAGUUUCCAAGCCUGAUUUUUUUGUUUUUUUGUGAGGUUGCAUUUGAUUAAAUGUUUCAGUUAUUGAUCUCUAGGAUGUAAAAGUUUAUAUUCUGACUGGGCUCUGCUUUUGAUUUUUCAGGGUUGUUUUAAGAGAAAGACCACAGUGUCCCAUGCAGGAUGGUUUAGUUUUAGAGUUCUAUUGUGACAACCUCUGCAGCUGCCCAGGUCAUUAAAUUCAGUACACUUCUGCUUUCAACUAAAAGUUUCCUGGCCUUGCAUUGCUGUGACUGGGCCUGGUCUAGCAGCCUGGUGGCAUUAGCUUCCAGCUCACAUCAGGAUGGUUCCAGCCCCUUUUGGUGUGAGUCAGAAAGAAUGAUGUGCUGAGGUGAAAAUACUCCUAUCCCCAGACUCCUCUAUAUGGGAGCAGCCAUGCCACCCAGUUCUGGCCAGUGAUAUUGCAACAAUCUGUGAAAUGGGGCUUCUGAUGAAAAUGGACAGUUAGUACUGAAGAUUGAACCCAGGACCUUUGCAUUGAACUUCAUCCCCAGCCUCCUCCAGUGCCAAGCCUGGUGCCCAGCACAGUGCAGCUCUGUUGAUCACAAUGGAGUGAGCUGAGCUGCACACGAUGACCUCUCUGGCAGGACGCUGGCGUGGAGGGAAAAGAAGCCCAGAGCAAAUUCCAGCCCUGGCCUGCAGCUCAGAUUUGACCUCCCUCUACUUUUCUCAACACUAAUCCCAGGCCCGUGUUAUGAUAAACUACUUGCUCCUUGUUCAGCAGUACAUUCAGGAACUGGACAGCCGCCAAGGAAAACACAGGGGCAGUGGUGGACUAUUGAAAUAAAUGAGUAGCCUAUGAUAAAUAUAGGAAAAACAGUGUUAGUUAAUACACUUAUGCGCCAACAAAAUCACAUACUAUUUAAUAGGGGGAGGAGUUUUAACAUGAAUGCGUAUGGCUUUAUGUAACAAGGUUGAUUUAAAAAAGAAAAGACAACAAAUAAUCUACAACCUUUUUAGCCAAGUAAAUGCUGGUUCUUCAAAGUCAGUAUUAGUGUGGUGGGAAACAUCAGUUGCCUAAAACAGCUCUAUUAUUCUUGAUGGAGGUCUUCAGAGCUGGAAUAGGAGGAAAAUUAGAUACAUUACUUGAUAAUUUAGCUUUUUGGUUUCAAGUCCCAAAUGGUAUCAACCAACUUGAUUACUGGCCUGGUUCACUAGACUUGGCUCUGAAUUAUUUUUAACAGUUUCCAGGAAUUAAAUCCACCUUAAAAACAAAACAAAACAAAACCAAAAAACCUCACACAAAUCUUGCUAUUUCUCAGGCAUGAAAAAAAGGUCUUGUAAGUUCUGGUGUUCCUAAGGGAGGUUCCCAAACUCCCUUUUUCUGAGCAGGAAAAAUCCCUUUGUUGACCUCACAGGUGAUUUCUGCAAAUGUGCAAGUUUUGAUUUCUUUGUUUGAAGAUCUGUCAUGUCAUCUUAGGCUCAGCCUUCCUCCUUAUUCACACUCUGCAGACUGUCAUCAGGUUUGGUCUGCACAAAAUAGUUGACCUGCAUCAAGGAAUUUAAAUUUUGAAUACCAGACCAGCCAUGACAUUCAGAUCAGUGGGAGACUUUGCAAAUCAAUAUGCAAACCUGAGCAGCCCACAUGGGUGUCUCCCCAACUGGCUCUCAGCAGGAGGCACAGGUUAUGCAAUAACUGAACUCAGCCUGCUUUCCUUCCAACUCAGCAUAAAUCGCUUGUGUGCAGGCGUGAUGGUGCCAAGCCCAGCAGCGAAGGCUAAUUGAGAACCUCGAUGUCUGCCUUCCUGACAGUAGAAAGCUUCGACCUGCUUCCAGGUGACAGUACACACACUUCCAGCAUGAACUCAAAACCCCAGCUGUCUCACCUGUAGAAAAUGACAUGUGCAUAUUACUUUUUUAAUAGGAUUAUUUGCAAAAGAUUAUACACAACAUAAAUCUCCAUCAAUAGGGGCCUCGACCAAUGUAUUAUGGAGUAGAAUAUAUGCAGAUGCAUAGGUAUGUGUAUGCACACAUUUGACAGUUAGUUUUAUAUGUUAUUUUGGUUGAUAUAUCCAAGGGAUGUCCAAGUGGCUAGUAAAAUGUUACUUCUGGAUUUGUCUCAGAGAGUGUUUCUGGGAGAAAAUUGCAUUUGAACUGAUGGACUGAGUAAGAACAUCUGUCCUCACCAGUGUGGGCAGGCACAUUCAAACUACUGAGGGCCUGAAUAGAACAAAAAGAUAGAUGAAGGACAAAUUUCCUUUGCUUUAGCUGGGAUACACUUCUUAUCUUGCCCUUAGACAUUCUCGGGCCUUUGGAACUGGACUGAAAGUGCCAGAUGUGGACUGGAAGUACAGCUCUUUUUUUGUUUCUUUGUUUAAGCAACAUAUUCUCUCGCAGUUCUGUAGGCUGGAAUCUAAGAUCGAGUUGUCUUCUGAGACUCCUCACCUGGGCUUGCAGAUGUGGGUCUUCUCCCUGUGUCCACACUUGCUCUUCCCUCUGUGUGCCUGUGUCCUCAACUCCUCUUUUUCUCAGGGCAGUUGUCAUUUUGGAUUAAAGCUCACUCUAAUGGCUUCAUUUUAAAGGAAGUCCCUCUUUAUAGGGCAAAUCUCCAGAGAGAGCCACAUUCUAAAGUAUGAGGUUUGGGCCAGGUAUUUAGCUCAGUGGUUCUGCCACCUGCCUCACAAGUGUAAGGUCCUGAGUUUGAUCCCCGGUAACAAAAAAAAAAUUUUUUAAUAAAAAAAAUAAAGUAUGAGGUUUAACAUCCUUUAGCUAAAAUGCUUGGGAUCAGAGGCAUUUUGAAUUUUUUUCUCAGAUUUUGGAAUAUUUACAUAUAUGUAAUUUGAUACCUUGGCGGAUAGAACUCAAAUCUAAACAAACGAAUCUGUAUCUCAUGUACAUCUUAUGCAUCCAGCCUGAAUGUAACUUUAUACAAUAUUUUCAGGGUAACUACACCUGGCCUGACCUGUCCUAUGAGGUGAGGCAUGGAGUGUUCUGCUUGUGGUAUCACAUCAGCACCCCCUAAAAAUUUCAGAGCCCUUCCUGGGCCUCUAGCUCACAGAUGGCAGGUGGUGGCACUUGUUGGCCUCCAUAAUCACACGAACCAAUCUUUCAUAAUAAACCUCUUCCUAUGUACCAUAUCUACGCAUAUCCUCUUUGUUUUUCUGAAGAAUUCUGUAAUACACAUAUAUGCAUAAGUUCCAUGUAUGCAAAUAUCUCCAAGAGAUGUUAAGUAAAAAGGAAAGUUGAAGAAUAGUAUGUGUAGUAUGCUACUAAGUUUUUCAUAUGUGUGAAAAACUCUGGAAGGAUCUUCAAGAAAUAAAUUCUGUUGGCUUGUGGGUAAAGAAGCUCAGUGGCUGAGGGACAGACGCAGAAGAAAGAUUCAGCAAUUUUAAAUACUACUUGAACUUGAAAUCAUAUGAAUGUAUAGCCCAUAAAAAUAGUUGCCUUAAAAAUAAAUGACACAUAUCAAUUGACAGAUGAGUAGAUAAAUAAAAUAUGGUAUAUGUGUAUGUGUGUGUGUGUGAUGUGUGUGUGUUCAUCCCUUUAAAAAAUGAAAUUCGUACAUGUGCUGCAACUUGGAUAAACCUUGAAGACUGUAUGCUAAGUGAAAUAAGGUGGAUGUAAAAGGAAAAACAAGGCAUGAUUUCACUUACAUGAGAUACUUAGUAGAGUCAAAUUUACAGAAACAAAGCAAAAUGGUGGUUGCCAAGGCUUGAGGAAGGCAGGAAUGAGGAGUUAUCAUUUAAUGGGUAGAGAGUAUUAGUUUUGCAAGAUCUAAAGGAUUUUGGAGAUUACAUGUACAAUAGUGUAAAUGAUUUUGUCAUUCUACACAAGGAACACCCUAGUUGCAGUCACCUAGAGGAUGUGUUAGAGCAAGGGUCCCCAAACCCCAGGGCCACAGACUGAUACUGGUCCAUAGCCUGUUAGGAACUGAAUCACACAGCGUGUGAGUGGCAGGAAGGGAGAAAGGCUUCAUCUGUAUUUACAGCCACUCCCCAUCAAUCACAUGACCACCUGAGCUUUGCCUCUUGUCAGAUCAGCAGCAGCAUUAGAUUCCCACAGGAGCACGAACCUUACUGUGAGCUGGGCAUGUGAAAGAUCUAGGUUUUUUGUUUUUUACAACAACCUAAUGCCUGAUGAUCUGAGGUGAAGCUGAGGCAGUGAUACUAGCUGAGGGAGUGCCUGCAAAUGCAGACUCCUAUUAGCAGCGAGGUUUGACUGCGCAGAGACCAUAAUAAAUCAAUUGCUUACAGAUUGAGAUCAAAAUCCAUCAGUGAGCAGCAAGUGACAAUUAAAUUGCAU